UACGGAGGGUGCGAGCGUUGUCCGGAAUCAUUGGGCGUAAAGGGCGCGUAGGUGGCCCGAUCAGUUCGUGGUGAAAGCGCGGGGCUCAACCCUGCGUCGGCCAUGAAUACUGCCGCGGCUGGAGCACUGUAGAGGCAGGCGGAAUUCCGGGUGUAGCGGUGGAAUGCGUAGAGAUCCGGAAGAACACCGGUGGCGAAGGCGGCCUGCUGGGCAGUUGCUGACACUGAGGCGCGACAGCGUGGGGAGCAAACAGG
Molecule: ribosomal RNA, 254 nt
Filed under: uncultured bacterium
Lineage: Bacteria
Description: partial 16S ribosomal RNA
Rfam family: Bacterial small subunit ribosomal RNA
Source: RNAcentral